Molecule: ribosomal RNA, 1288 nt
Filed under: Trichodes sp.
Lineage: Eukaryota; Metazoa; Arthropoda; Insecta; Coleoptera; Cleridae
Description: 16S ribosomal RNA
Rfam family: Archaeal large subunit ribosomal RNA (bases 1044-1202)
Source: RNAcentral
AAGUAAUUAUUUAUUAAAAUUUUAAAUUAAAAUUCAAGUUAAAUAAAAAAAUUAUAUUUUUAUUAUAAAUUAAGAAAAAAUUUUUUUUUAUUAUAGUUAAUAGUAUUGAGAAAGAACAUUUUUAUUUGUAAAAAAGAAAAAUUAAAAUUUUGUACCUUGUGCAUCAGGGUUGAUUAAAAAAUAAUUUUAUAUUAAAUAUUCUCGAAUUUAAAAGAGCUAAUUAAUUAUAAAUUUUAUUGUGAAAUAAAUAUUUAAAAUAUUUAAUUAGAAAUGAAACGUUAUUCGUUUUUAAAUUUAUCUAGUUUUUAAAUAAAUAAAUUUAAUUUAGCUAUUUUUUGGUAAAAAUUUGAUUUUUUAAAUUUUUAUAAAAAAUAAGUAAUUUUUUUGGGGAAAAGCUUGAGAAAAAAAAAUUAUAAUAAAAUAAGAAUUUUAAUAAAUUAUAGGAUUAUAAAUUUCUAUUAAUAAAAAAAUGUUAUAAUUAAUUAUUAGAAAAAUAUUAUUUUUAUUUUAUUUAAAUUUUUUAUUUAAAUAUAUUUUUUAAUAAAAAAAAAUUAGUAAUAAUGAUUAAAUUAGUAUAAAUUAAUGUAUAUUUAAAUAUUUAAUAAAGGUAAGUUUAAGGAACUCGGCAAAUAUAUUUUUCACCUGUUUAUUAAAAACAUGUCCUUUUGAUAAUAAUUUAAGGUCUAAUCUGCCCACUGAGAAUUUAAAUGGCCGCGGUAUUUUGACCGUGCAAAGGUAGCAUAAUAAUUAGUUUCUUAAUUAGAAGCUGGAAUGAAAGAUUGAAUGAGAAAAUAACUGUCUCAAAUUUAUUUAAUUAGAAUUUUAUUUUUAAGUUAAAAAGCUUAAAUAUUUUUAAAAGACGAGAAGACCCUAUAGAGUUUUAUUUAAUUUUUUAUUAAGAAAAAAUUGUUUUUAAUUUUUUUAAUAAAAAAUUAAAUUUUGUUGGGGUGAUGGAAAAAUUUAAUAAACUUUUUUUAUAUUUUAACAUAAAUUUAUGAUUAAUUGAUCCAAAAUUUUUGAUUAUAAGAUUAAAUUACCUUAGGGAUAACAGCGUAAUUUUUUUUGAGAGUUCUUAUCGAAAAAAAAGAUUGCGACCUCGAUGUUGGAUUAAAGUUAAAUUUUGGUGUAGAAGCUAAAAAUUUAGGUCUGUUCGACCUUUAAAACUUUACAUGAUCUGAGUUUAAACCGGUGUAAGCCAGGUUGGUUUCUAUCUUUAAACAAAUAAAAUAUUUUAGUACGAAAGGACCAAAUAUUUAUUAUAAUAAUUUGUAUUGAAUAAUAAUAAAUU